This 633-nucleotide ribosomal RNA is filed under the name Triticum aestivum (bread wheat). Its description in RNAcentral is "partial small subunit ribosomal RNA". Lineage: Eukaryota; Viridiplantae; Streptophyta; Magnoliopsida; Poales; Poaceae. The record is from RNAcentral.
AUGAAGCCUAGCGAUUGGCGUAAGGAGAUUGCAGAAUUGGUUCGUCUACAUGUUGAAACAGGGUGGAAGGAUGACGUAGUGGGUACUAAAUCUUACAGGAGGUUUAAUGAUGCCACGGAUGCUGAUGCCACAACGGCCUACGACGAGCUCGAGGAAAUCCUCAAGGGUGAAGAGACACCGCGGGACAAGAUGAGAUUUACGCAGAAUGUAGUUGAGAAGUGCAAGGCGGGUUCGAUCCCCAACUCUUUUGUUCGUGAUGCUUGGCUGCUUGUUGUAAGCUUUCAGGGUCAUGUUGGUGAUAAGACCACGAUGUGGGAGGUGAUCGAAGGCGUGUGGGUGGAGAUGCUCUGCUAUUCUGCCAGUCGAUGCCGCGGGUACUUGCACGCGGAGGCUCUGGGAAACGGUGUGGAGUACCUCUCCUAUGUCUUGGUCCUGUUGGCAUACGCCGGGAUGGAGACAUUUUCAGAAAAGCUUCAGAGGAGGGACGAUGUGUCAUUUGACAGUGAUAAGCCUUACCGUUUAGCACGGAAGAUUUUUCACCCCCAAGGAGUAUGUUGUAUUCAAAGUCCUAACCAUUCGGGCCGACAUUGUCUUUCUCCCAGCACUUUCAGAAACGGAAAUCAUUUGCGAUGA